Long non-coding RNA from Homo sapiens (human), 856 nucleotides. The record is from Ensembl. NCBI's taxonomy places the organism in Eukaryota, Metazoa, Chordata, Mammalia, Primates, Hominidae.
GCGCAGGGCCCCCGCCUGGCUCUACAAGCCCGGGCCGCGGCCCCCGCCUUCCCCGCCGCCUCCCGGCGCUCCGUGCCCGCCCCACGAGGCCGGCGGCUGCUGCUACCUGGGGCCGUUGCUGCUUGUGCCGUGAGCGACGGCCAGCCAUUGUCCCCGCCGCUCCGUCAGCCGCGCCCGGCCGCGCGCGCACCGGAAGGCGCAUUGGCGUCUUGCGGGCUCCGGGCCGGGUGGGCAGGAUGGCCUCCACAAGCCGCAUGGCGCGCAUGGGGAGCCUCCGUUGAUGCCGCCGCGCCGCCCUCCGAGGCUGCAUCCGCGGAAGCCCGGCUCCCCGAGCGCUCCGGCCCGGCCCGGCGCCCCGGACCUGAGUGCGUCCCCAUGAAGGCGCCCGGGCUGGCCCAGGCGGCCGUGGCAGAGGAGACCCCGGACUGGGCGCCCGAGCUCUGCCCCAGCUCCGAGGCGCGGUCGCCGGAGCCGCCUGCCAACCGCCUUCAAGACUUCGACACGCUGGUCACCGUGGGAAAGCAACUAGAAGCCAUUUGUGUCAAGAAAAACGUUGACCUCUUGGCGAGAAUGCAAAGAAGGGAACGCUUGCUUAUACGCUGUUGGUGAACUGUCACCCCUACAACUCAGCUUGCAACCAGCCCUGGCCACCAGUUUCCCCACACUGAGCUGAAUAUCGGACAUGCCCAUCUCAGACAUUCCAGCCCAUUCUGAAAUUCCACAUCGAUUCACCUGACAAAGUCUGAAGUUCCAGGGCAAUUUAUCUGGAAAAGCUUACCUGGAAUCACGUGUCAUUUCAACCAACAACUGUUGAAGAGGACGUGGCAUUAAAACCAAGGGUAUCAAUUAUUUAUAA